CAGUCGCCACGGUAAUACGUAGGUGGCAAGCGUUGUCCGGAUUUAUUGGGCGUAAAGCGAGCGCAGGCGGUCAAUUAAGUCUGAUGUGAAAGCCCCCGGCUCAACCGGGGAGGGUCAUUGGAAACUGGUUGACUUGAGUGCAGAAGAGGAGAGUGGAAUUCCAUGUGUAGCGGUGAAAUGCGUAGAUAUAUGGAGGAACACCGGUGGCGAAGGCGACUCUCUGGCCUGUAACUGACGCUGAGGCUCGAAAGCGUGGGUAGCAAACAGGAUUAGAUACCCGAGUAGUCCCUGUCUCUUAUAC
RNAcentral lists this ribosomal RNA (301 nucleotides) under uncultured bacterium. RNAcentral's name for it is "partial 16S ribosomal RNA". It matches the Rfam family "Bacterial small subunit ribosomal RNA", at positions 509 to 807 of the family's 1533-position model. The record is from RNAcentral.